RNAcentral lists this unclassified non-coding RNA (418 nucleotides) under soil metagenome. Its description in RNAcentral is "partial contains 5.8S ribosomal RNA, internal transcribed spacer 2, and large subunit ribosomal RNA". The stretch from base 1 to 120 matches the Rfam family "5.8S ribosomal RNA", at positions 35 to 154 of the family's 154-position model. The record is from RNAcentral.
GAUGAAGAACGUAGCGAAAUGCGAUAAGUAAUGUGAAUUGCAGAAUUCAGUGAAUCAUCGAAUCUUUGAACGCAUCUUGCGCUCCUUGGUAUUCCUUGGAGCAUGCCUGUUUGAGUAUCAUGAGCAAAUCUCAAAGUCAAUUCCUUUUGUUAAUUCAAUUGGUUUUGCUUUGGACUUGGAGGUCUUGCAGAUUUCACAGUCUGCUCCUCUUAAAUGCAUUAGCUGGAUCUCAGUAAUUAUGCUUGGUUCCACUCGGCGUGAUAAGUAUCACUCGCUGAGGACACUGUUAAAAAGGUGGCCAGGAAAAUACUGAUUGAACCGCUUCUAACGGUCUAUUAAGUUAGACAAUUGACCCUUAAGUUUGAUCUCAAAUCAGGUAGGACUACCCGCUGAACUUAAGCAUAUCAUAAGCGGAGGA